Molecule: unclassified non-coding RNA, 163 nt
Filed under: uncultured Pseudeurotiaceae
Lineage: Eukaryota; Fungi; Ascomycota; Leotiomycetes; Thelebolales; Pseudeurotiaceae
Description: sequence contains ITS1
Source: RNAcentral
AUGAGAACUUGCCCUCCGGGGUAGAUCUCCCACCCUUUGUAUAUCUUACCUUUGUUGCUUUGUCGGGCCCGUCCCCCGGGACCGCCGGCUUCGGCUGGCCAGUGCUCGACAGAGGACCCAAAACUCUGAAUGUUAAUGUCGUCUGAGUACUAUAUAAUAGUUA